Molecule: ribosomal RNA, 460 nt
Filed under: uncultured bacterium
Lineage: Bacteria
Description: partial 16S ribosomal RNA
Rfam family: Bacterial small subunit ribosomal RNA
Source: RNAcentral
CCUACGGGUGGCAGCAGUGAGGAAUAUUGGUCAAUGGGCGCGAGCCUGAACCAGCCAAGUAGCGUGAAUGAUGACUGCCCUACGGGUUGUAAACUUCUUUUAUAAAGGAAUAAAGUGAGGCACGUGUGCCUUUUUGUAUGUACUUUAUGAAUAAGGAUCGGCUAACUCCGUGCCAUCAGCCGCGGGAAUACGGAGGAUCCGAGCGUUAUCCGGUUUUAUUUGGUUUAAAGGGAGCGUAGGUGGGUUGUUAAGUCAGUUGUGAAAGUGUGGGGCUCAACCGUAACAUUGGAAUUUAUACUGGCAGCCUUGAGUACAUUUGAGGUAGGCGGAAUUCGUGGUGUAGCGGUGAAAUGCUUAGAUAUCACGAAGAACUCCGAUGGCGAAGGCAGCCUACUAAACUGCCACUGACAUUGAUGCUCGAAAGUGUGGGUAUCAAACAGGAUUAGAUACCCGGGUAGUC